UACAGAGGGUGCAAGCGUUGUUCGGAAUCACUGGGCGUAAAGGGCGCGUAGGCGGCUCAUGAAGGCUGUGGUGAAAGUCCGGGGCUCAACCUCGGAUCGGCCGUGGCGACUCGUGGGCUGGAGCACUGUAGAGGCGGGUGGAAUUCCGGGUGUAGCGGUGGAAUGCGUAGAGAUCCGGAAGAACACCAGUGGCGAAGGCGGCCCGCUGGGCAGUGGCUGACGCUGAGGCGCGACAGCGUGGGGAGCAAACAGG
RNAcentral lists this ribosomal RNA (253 nucleotides) under uncultured bacterium. Its description in RNAcentral is "partial 16S ribosomal RNA". It matches the Rfam family "Bacterial small subunit ribosomal RNA", at positions 524 to 776 of the family's 1533-position model. The record is from RNAcentral.